Cyprinus carpio carpio is the source of this 1218-nucleotide long non-coding RNA. NCBI's taxonomy places the organism in Eukaryota, Metazoa, Chordata, Actinopteri, Cypriniformes, Cyprinidae. The record is from Ensembl.
UGGCGUAGAGUGUGAAGUAUUAUAUUAUAAGGCCUGUGGAUCAGAGAGAAGAGUGCUUCUGAGAAGUACAUAUUAUGUAUCUUUAAAGUGUGAUUUGUGUUUGCCUUCUUGGUUUUGUGUUUGUACUGGAAAUCUCCCUAGGAUUCAUUUUGACUUCAACACUGGUGUUCACACUAAAAAUCAAAAUCAAACACUUUUUUUUCUUUUUAUCCGGUAGAUAUUGGUUCUAAAAAGGAAUCUAAAUGUAUCCCUUAUACUGGUUUAUGUAGAAUGGAUAUCGAUCUUCCCUAAAACAAAACAAAACAAAAAUUGUACAGUUUUGUACAGACUUGAACAACCCCUGAAGCCCACACGAAACUGCAUUUGAGAGUCAAUGAAUUUGAAGCCCUCACAAUGGCAAAAUGUUUGCUAGUUUUCAUUCAUUUUGAAAGCUGUGUCUUUGGAUUUAAAACCAAUUGAAACAUUGUAAAUGAACUGGUCUUUAUAUUUGUCGAAACACAUUUUUCUUUCUUUUGUUUUUGUGUAAUGAUGUUUGUGCUUGUAAAUGUGUAGAAGUGUGUGUGGGUGUGCACGGUCAUAUGGAUAGAAAACACUGAACAUUUUCUGCAGGUAUUUAUUGAUCAGUCUAGAGCGUGUGCUUGUCAUUUUGAAAAGCCAUGUAGAAUCCAAUUUGUGCAGCGAGGAGAAUCAAAAAGAUGAAUGUUGUUUGAGAUUGUGAGGUUCUCUACAUUUUCAUAUACUUUGUACAUUCAGAUGCUUUAGAUAAUUAUAUCUUUUAUGUGUCUUUUUGUUUGUCAGCUAAUGAAACCUUGAACCAAUUCAACUAUCCAUUCAUUUGAGAGCAUUGAACCAUAGAGUAAAAUUUGAUGGGUUUGACAUUAUGAUUAUAAAUAUAAUGAUUUUUGCAUGUUGAUCUAAUUUGAAUUUCUCAGUUAUUCUCUUUCUCAGGGGCUUUUCAAAAUCGUUGUAUCUGUCUGGUGUAUAAAAUGCAAUCUCUGUUCACUACACUACAUUUAAGAGCAUUUGGCUGGAUUUGGUCACAGUAUGUUUAGGUCUAAUUGUACCAAACCUUUUGUGCUAAGACUCUGCAAAUUAUUGUAAUUAAUUCAGAUAUCAGUGACCAUGUUUGUCAGAUGGAUUGCAAAUACCUGUCAGAUCAAUUCAGAUGUAGACAACUCGUUGAUUUUGCUUUUUUCAACCCUGUAAAGCGAAUAAAUC